This is a non-coding RNA of Pelobates cultripes (western spadefoot toad), 479 nucleotides long. Lineage: Eukaryota; Metazoa; Chordata; Amphibia; Anura; Pelobatidae. The record is from the annotation of a GenBank genome assembly.
GACACACAGCCUGCAGUUCUGAUGUUCUCAGCCAAUCUAAAGAUUUUCCAUAGGACCAAAAAACAAAAUAAAAAUACUGUCGUACCAAUCAGUAUCUCAAGAGACACAUCGAAUCAACAAUCAACAUUUUCCUGGCACUAAAAGGGUUAAUAGGUACCCCCUUCAGCCACUAAUCUGAAUCCAGCACCAAUGUCCCUCGGUGCUGAGUCACGCUCCGCCCCAGUGGGGGAGACCUGAUGCGCAUGUGCAGCAAUGUCUGUGCGCGCAUUAGACCUCCCCAUAGGAAAGCAUUAUUCAAUGCUUUCCUAUGGGAAAAAUCUAACGCUGGAGUGCCGGAGACCAAAGGUCGGUUUGGUUUCCGGAUGUUUUACAUUGCAGCACUAAGUGCAAAAGGGUCACUGCACCCAUACUACAAUUGGUUGAAGUGGUCUGGGUGCCUACAGUGUCCCUUUAAGAUGCAGUGAUUCUGCUUACUCAAG